GAUGAACGCUGGCGGCGUGCCUAAUACAUGCAAGUCGAGCGAACAGACGAGGAGCUUGCUCCUCUGACGUUAGCGGCGGACGGGUGAGUAACACGUGUAUAACCUACCUAUAAGACUGGGAUAACUUCGGGAAACCGGAGCUAAUACCGGAUAAUAUAUUGAACCGCAUGGUUCAAUAGUGAAAGACGGUUUUGCUGUCACUUAUAGAUGGAUCCGCGCCGCAUUAGCUAGUUGGUAAGGUAACGGCUUACCAAGGCAACGAUGCGUAGCCGACCUGAGAGGGUGAUCGGCCACACUGGAACUGAGACACGGUCCAGACUCCUACGGGAGGCAGCAGUAGGGAAUCUUCCGCAAUGGGCGAAAGCUUGACGGAGCAACGCCGCGUGAGUGAUGAAGGUCCUCGGAUCGUAAAACUCUGUUAUUAGGGAAGAACAAAUGUGUAAGUAACUAUGCACGUCUUGACGGUACCUAAUCAGAAAGCCACGGCUAACUACGUG
RNAcentral lists this ribosomal RNA (497 nucleotides) under uncultured bacterium. RNAcentral describes it as "partial 16S ribosomal RNA". It matches the Rfam family "Bacterial small subunit ribosomal RNA", at positions 28 to 507 of the family's 1533-position model. The record is from RNAcentral.